UACGGAGGGGGUCAGUGUUGUUCGGAAUUACUGGGCGUAAAGGGCGCGCAGGCGGCUUGGCAAGUCGAGUGUGAAAGCCCUUGGCUUAACUAAGGAAUGACGCUCGAAACUACCUCGCUAGAGGACGGGAGAGGGAAGUGGAACUCUCGGUGUAGGGGUGAAAUCUGUAGAUAUCGAGAGGAACACCGGUGGCGAAGGCGGCUUCCUGGCCCGUUCCUGACGCUGAGGCGCGAAAGCGUGGGGAGCAAACAGGAUUAGAUACCCUGGUAGUCCACGCCCUAAACGAUGGGCACUAGGUGUGGGCGGCACUAAUUCCGCCCGUGCCGUAGCUAACGCAUUAAGUGCCCCGCCUGGGGAGUACGGUCGCAAGGCUGAA
RNAcentral lists this ribosomal RNA (376 nucleotides) under uncultured bacterium. RNAcentral describes it as "bacterial SSU rRNA". It matches the Rfam family "Bacterial small subunit ribosomal RNA", at positions 524 to 898 of the family's 1533-position model. The record is from RNAcentral.